AUAUAUAUAUAUAUCAUGGUGAAUCAUUGGGUGGCCUGAUCCCUUUUUGGGUGCCUUGUGUUUUUAAUCCCAAAGUGAAGAGUUAAAAAGCCAAAUAGUUCCUCAAAGAUGCCUUGGUAUGGGGUAGCCUCCCCUCUCCCUAAACACAUGAUAGUUCUUUCACUGCAUACACUGCAAGGUGAGUCUUGUUUAUGGCAAGGAGGUGCAGCUCAUUCUGGUGAAUUUGGAUGUGUUCUGGCCUUGUGACUUCGAGUUUACCAGUAAAUUUAUUGGGCAGCAAACACACGAACCCAGAGCUGAUUGGCAAGUGGAAAAAUUUGGAGGUGUUAUCAUUGGGUUCAUGCUUAAAUUUGGCGAAAAUACUUCCAAUUAUACAAACGCAUUGCAAGAAUUUUUAUGGUUUAGAUUUGUCCAAAGGCUCUGUUCAUGGGCGUGAGGCAUUGUCAAUUGUGAAGUUGGUGCCCAAAAAUGAUAUGACAAAUUUGUAUAUUUAAAAGAUAUAGCCG
Molecule: non-coding RNA, 506 nt
Organism: Prunus mume (Japanese apricot)
Lineage: Eukaryota; Viridiplantae; Streptophyta; Magnoliopsida; Rosales; Rosaceae
Source: RefSeq, a predicted model, not a curated record